GCCGGGCGCAGUGGCUCACACCUGUCAUCCCAGCGGCUCAGGAGGCGGAGGCAGGAGGAUCGUGAGUUCAAAGCCAGCCUCAGCAAAAGUGAGGCACUAAACAACUCAGGAGACCCUGUCUCUA
Molecule: small RNA, 124 nt
Filed under: Marmota monax (woodchuck)
Lineage: Eukaryota; Metazoa; Chordata; Mammalia; Rodentia; Sciuridae
Source: RNAcentral